Molecule: ribosomal RNA, 502 nt
Filed under: Cyzicus gifuensis
Lineage: Eukaryota; Metazoa; Arthropoda; Branchiopoda; Diplostraca; Cyzicidae
Description: partial 16S ribosomal RNA
Rfam family: Bacterial large subunit ribosomal RNA
Source: RNAcentral
UUCCUUGAGCUUCAUUCAAGGUAUAGCCUGCCCAAUGUAACAUCAAUGGCCGCGGUAUCCUGACCGUGCGAAGGUAGCAUAAUCAUUAGUCUCUUAAUUAGAGGCUGGCAUGAACGGCUGAACGAGAAAAAUACUGUCUCUAGAAGAAAAAUAGAAUUUUAUUAUUAAGUGAAAAAGCUUAAAUUUCUCUGGAGGACGAUAAGACCCUAUAGAGCUUCAUUUUCCCUAAAUAGAUCUUAACUAGAAGUUAACAUUACUAUAAAAAGAAAAUUUGGUUGGGGCGACAACAAGAAAAAAAUAACUCUUUAUUUUUAUUACAGCGAUAGCUGCUUUAGAGAUCCUUUUAGAAAGAUCAAAAGAACAAGUUACCUUAGGGAUAACAGCGUAAUCCUUUUCAAGAGUUCCCAUCGACAAAAGGGUUUGCGACCUCGAUGUUGGAUUAAGAAAUUGUUUGGGUGCAGCAGCUCAAAUAAAAGGUCUGUUCGACCUUUAAAUUCUUACA